This 1231-nucleotide ribosomal RNA is filed under the name Salmonella enterica subsp. enterica serovar Typhimurium. RNAcentral's name for it is "partial 23S ribosomal RNA". It matches the Rfam family "Bacterial large subunit ribosomal RNA", at positions 711 to 1838 of the family's 2925-position model. The record is from RNAcentral. Lineage: Bacteria; Pseudomonadati; Pseudomonadota; Gammaproteobacteria; Enterobacterales; Enterobacteriaceae.
AGACCCGAAACCCGGUGAUCUAGCCAUGGGCAGGUUGAAGGUUGGGUAACACUAACUGGAGGACCGAACCGACUAAUGUUGAAAAAUUAGCGGAUGACCUGUGGCUGGGGGUGAAAGGCCAAUCAAACCGGGAGAUAGCUGGUUCUCCCCGAAAGCUAUUUAGGUAGCGCCUCGUGAAUUCAUCUCCGGGGGUAGAGCACUGUUUCGGCUAGGGGGCCAUCCCGGCUUACCAACCCGAUGCAAACUGCGAAUACCGGAGAAUGUUAUCACGGGAGACACACGGCGGGUGCUAACGUCCGUCGUGAAGAGGGAAACAACCCAGACCGCCAGCUAAGGUCCCAAAGUCAUGGUUAAGUGGGAAACGAUGUGGGAAGGCCCAGACAGCCAGGAUGUUGGCUUAGAAGCAGCCAUCAUUUAAAGAAAGCGUAAUAGCUCACUGGUCGAGUCGGCCUGCGCGGAAGAUGUAACGGGGCUAAACCAUGCACCGAAGCUGCGGCAGCGAACGUAUCACCCAAGACAACUUUACGGAGUUGACGAUUGACGGAGCGAAGCGACGUCAAAGCGUUCAUUAAAGUCGAGUUGGCUUAGGGAUACGUUCGUUGGGUAGGGGAGCGUUCUGUAAGCCUGUGAAGGUGUGUCGUGAGGCAUGCUGGAGGUAUCAGAAGUGCGAAUGCUGACAUAAGUAACGAUAAAGCGGGUGAAAAGCCCGCUCGCCGGAAGACCAAGGGUUCCUGUCCAACGUUAAUCGGGGCAGGGUGAGUCGACCCCUAAGGCGAGGCCGAAAGGCGUAGUCGAUGGGAAACGGGUUAAUAUUCCCGUACUUGGUGUUACUGCGAAGGGGGGACGGAGAAGGCUAUGUUGGCCGGGCGACGGUUGUCCCGGUUUAAGCGUGUAGGUGUGUGUUCCAGGUAAAUCCGGUUCACUUUAACACUGAGGCGUGACGACGAGGCACUACGGUGCUGAAGCAACAAAUGCCCUGCUUCCAGGAAAAGCCUCUAAGCAUCAGGUAACACGAAAUCGUACCCCAAACCGACACAGGUGGUCAGGUAGAGAAUACCAAGGCGCUUGAGAGAACUCGGGUGAAGGAACUAGGCAAAAUGGUGCCGUAACUUCGGGAGAAGGCACGCUGACACGUAGGUGAAGUGAUUUACUCAUGGAGCUGAAGUCAGUCGAAGAUACCAGCUGGCUGCAACUGUUUAUUAAAAACACAGCACUGUGCAAACACGAAAGU